This 272-nucleotide ribosomal RNA is filed under the name Sporolactobacillus nakayamae. RNAcentral's name for it is "23S rRNA. Bacterial LSU". It matches the Rfam family "Bacterial large subunit ribosomal RNA", at positions 2655 to 2925 of the family's 2925-position model. The record is from RNAcentral. Lineage: Bacteria; Bacillati; Bacillota; Bacilli; Caryophanales; Sporolactobacillaceae.
AGGAAAUUUGAGAAGAGCUGUCCUUAGUACGAGAGGACCGGGAUGGACACACCGCUGGUGUACCAGUUGUUCCGCCAGGAGCAUACGCUGGGUAGCUAUGUGUGGACGGGAUAAGUGCUGAAAGCAUCUAAGCAUGAAGCCCCCUUCAAGAUGAGAUUUCCCAUGAUUUUAAAUCAGUAAGACCCCUUAGAGAUGAUGAGGUUGAUAGGUCUGGAGUGGAAGCACGGUGACGUGUGAAGCGGACAGAUACUAAUCGGUCGAGGGCUUAACCC